Molecule: ribosomal RNA, 1287 nt
Filed under: metagenome
Description: bacterial SSU rRNA
Rfam family: Bacterial small subunit ribosomal RNA
Source: RNAcentral
UAGCUAGUUGGUGAGGUAACGGCUUACCAAGGCGACGAUCUGUAGCGGGUCUGAGAGGAUGAUCCGCCACACUGGAACUGAGACACGGUCCAGACUCCUACGGGAGGCAGCAGUGGGGAAUUUUGGACAAUGGGGGCAACCCUGAUCCAGCCAUGCCGCGUGAGUGAAGAAGGCCUUCGGGUUGUAAAGCUCUUUCGGCCGGGAAGAAAUCGCAUGGGCCAAUACCCUGUGUGGAUGACGGUACCGGAAUAAGAAGCACCGGCUAACUACGUGCCAGCAGCCGCGGUAAUACGUAGGGUGCGAGCGUUAAUCGGAAUUACUGGGCGUAAAGCGUGCGCAGGCGGUUUUGUAAGACAGGCGUGAAAUCCCCGGGCUCAACCUGGGAACUGCGUUUGUGACUGCAAGGCUAGAGUACGGCAGAGGGGGGUGGAAUUCCACGUGUAGCAGUGAAAUGCGUAGAGAUGUGGAGGAACACCAAUGGCGAAGGCAGCCCCCUGGGUCGAUACUGACGCUCAUGCACGAAAGCGUGGGUAGCAAACAGGAUUAGAUACCCUGGUAGUCCACGCCCUAAACUAUGUCAACUAGGUGUUGGGUGGGUAAAACCAUUUAGUACCGUAGCUAACGCGUGAAGUUGACCGCCUGGGGAGUACGGCCGCAAGGUUAAAACUCAAAGGAAUUGACGGGGACCCGCACAAGCGGUGGAUGAUGUGGAUUAAUUCGAUGCAACGCGAAAAAACCUUACCUACCCUUGACAUGCCAGGAACUUGCCAGAGAUGGCUUGGUGCCCGAAAGGGAGCCUGGACACAGGUGCUGCAUGGCUGUCGUCAGCUCGUGUCGUGAGAUGUUGGGUUAAGUCCCGCAACGAGCGCAACCCUCGUCGUUAAUUGCCAUCAUUUAGUUGGGCACUUUAGCGAGACUGCCGGUGACAAACCGGAGGAAGGUGGGGAUGACGUCAAGUCCUCAUGGCCCUUAUGGGUAGGGCUUCACACGUCAUACAAUGGUCGGUACAAAGGGUCGCCAAGCCGCGAGGUGGAGCCAAUCCCAGAAAGCCGAUCGUAGUCCGGAUUGCAGGCUGCAACUCGCCUGCAUGAAGUCGGAAUCGCUAGUAAUCGUGGAUCAGCAUGUCACGGUGAAUACGUUCCCGGGUCUUGUACACACCGCCCGUCACACCAUGGGAGCGGGUUCCGCCAGAAGUAGGUAGCCUAACCGCAAGGAGGGCGCUUACCACGGCGGGGUUCGUGACUGGGGUGAAGUCGUAACAAGGUAGCCGUAGGGAACCUGCGGCUG